CAGAUGACUGGGGUGAAGUCGUAACAAGGUAGCCGUAGGAGAACCUGCGGCUGGAUCACCUCCUUUCUAAGGAAUAAAACGGAACC
This 86-nucleotide ribosomal RNA is filed under the name Limosilactobacillus reuteri. Its description in RNAcentral is "Lactobacillus reuteri partial 16S ribosomal RNA". The stretch from base 1 to 66 matches the Rfam family "Bacterial small subunit ribosomal RNA", at positions 1468 to 1533 of the family's 1533-position model. The record is from RNAcentral. Lineage: Bacteria; Bacillati; Bacillota; Bacilli; Lactobacillales; Lactobacillaceae.